Molecule: ribosomal RNA, 550 nt
Filed under: Enterobacter cloacae
Lineage: Bacteria; Pseudomonadati; Pseudomonadota; Gammaproteobacteria; Enterobacterales; Enterobacteriaceae
Description: bacterial SSU rRNA
Rfam family: Bacterial small subunit ribosomal RNA
Source: RNAcentral
GCAAGUCGAACGGUAACAGGAAGCAGCUUGCUGCUUUGCUGACGAGUGGCGGACGGGUGAGUAAUGUCUGGGAAACUGCCUGAUGGAGGGGGAUAACUACUGGAAACGGUAGCUAAUACCGCAUAACGUCGCAAGACCAAAGAGGGGGACCUUCGGGCCUCUUGCCAUCGGAUGUGCCCAGAUGGGAUUAGCUAGUAGGUGGGGUAACGGCUCACCUAGGCGACGAUCCCUAGCUGGUCUGAGAGGAUGACCAGCCACACUGGAACUGAGACACGGUCCAGACUCCUACGGGAGGCAGCAGUGGGGAAUAUUGCACAAUGGGCGCAAGCCUGAUGCAGCCAUGCCGCGUGUGUGAAGAAGGCCUUCGGGUUGUAAAGCACUUUCAGCGGGGAGGAAGGCGGUAAGGUUAAUAACCUUACCGAUUGACGUUACCCGCAGAAGAAGCACCGGCUAACUCCGUGCCAGCAGCCGCGGUAAUACGGAGGGUGCAAGCGUUAAUCGGAAUUACUGGGCGUAAAGCGCACGCAGGCGGUCUGUCAAGUCGGAUGUG